Molecule: transfer RNA, 72 nt
Filed under: Cordylochernes scorpioides
Lineage: Eukaryota; Metazoa; Arthropoda; Arachnida; Pseudoscorpiones; Chernetidae
Description: tRNA-Asp
Source: RNAcentral
CUCUCCGGCGGGGAAUCGAACCCUAGUCGCCCGCGUGACAGGCAGGAAUACUAACCACUAUAGUACCUAGGA